CCCUUAGAUGUCCUGGGCCGCACGCGCGUUACACUGGUGCAUUCAACGAGCUUAUAACCUUGGCCGAGAGGCCUGGGCAAUCUUGUUAACGUGCAUCGUGAUAGGGAUAGAUUAUUGAAAUUAUUAAUCUUGAACGAGGAAUUCCUAGUAAACGCAGAUCAUCAAUCUGCAUUGAUUACGUCCCUGCCCUUUGUACACACCGCCCGUCGCACCUACCGAUUGGAUGGUCCGGUGAAGCCUCGGGAUUGUGGUUCUUGCCGCUUUAUUGUGGCGUGACCGCGAGAACUUGUCUAAACCUUAUCAUCUAGAGGAAGGUGAAGUCGUANCA
Molecule: ribosomal RNA, 328 nt
Filed under: uncultured eukaryote
Lineage: Eukaryota
Description: partial 18S ribosomal RNA
Rfam family: Eukaryotic small subunit ribosomal RNA
Source: RNAcentral